CCUACGGGUGGCAGCAGUCGAGAAUCAUUCACAAUGGGGGAAACCCUGAUGGUGCGACGCCGCGUGGGGGAAUGAAGGUCUUCGGAUUGUAAACCCCUUUCAUGUGGGAGCAAAUUAAAAAGAUAGUACCACAAGAGGAAGAGACGGCUAACUCUGUGCCAGCAGCCGCGGUAAUACAGAGGUCUCAAGCGUUGUUCGGAAUCACUGGGCGUAAAGCGUGCGUAGGCUGUUUCGUAAGUCGUGUGUGAAAGGCGCGGGCUCAACCCGCGGACGGCACAUGAUACUGAGAGACUAGAGUGAUGGAGGGGGAAGCGGAAUGCGUGGUGUAGCAGUGAAAUGCGUAGAUAUCGAGAGGAACACUCGUGGCGAAGGCGGGUUCCUGGACAUUAACUGACGCUGAGGCACGAAGGCCAGGGGAGCGAAAGGGAUUAGAUACCCGUGUAGUC
RNAcentral lists this ribosomal RNA (446 nucleotides) under uncultured bacterium. Its description in RNAcentral is "partial 16S ribosomal RNA". It matches the Rfam family "Bacterial small subunit ribosomal RNA", at positions 338 to 795 of the family's 1533-position model. The record is from RNAcentral.